RNAcentral lists this ribosomal RNA (441 nucleotides) under uncultured bacterium. RNAcentral's name for it is "partial 16S ribosomal RNA". It matches the Rfam family "Bacterial small subunit ribosomal RNA", at positions 338 to 795 of the family's 1533-position model. The record is from RNAcentral.
CCUACGGGAGGCAGCAGUGGGGGAUAUUGCACAAUGGGGGGAACCCUGAUGCAGCGACGCCGCGUGGGUGAAGGAGUGCUUCGGCAUGUAAAGCCCCUUUGGCAGGGAAGCAGCAAGACGGUCCCUGACUAAGAAGCUCCGGCUAACUACGUGCCAGCAGCCACGGUAAUACGUAGGGGGCGAGCGUUAUCCGGGUUUACUGGGGGUAAAGGGAGCGUAGGCGGCCAAGCAAGGCAGGGGCGAAAGCCCGGGGGCCAACCCCGGGACUGCCCUUGAAACUGCAUGGCUGGAGUGCGGGAGGGGCAGGCGGAAUUCCUGGUGUAGCGGUGAAAUGCGUAGAUAUCAGGAGGAACACCGGCGGCGAAGGCGGCCUGCUGGACCGCGACUGACGUUGAGGCUCGAAAGCGUGGGGAGCGAACAGGAUUAGAUACCCUGGUAGUC